UCUGGUGGUAAUGGCGGAGGGGACACACGCGUACCCAUCCCGAACACGACCGUUAAGACCUCCAGCGCCGAUGAUACUUGGGGUGCAGACCCCUGGGAAAGUAGGACGCCGCCAGGC
RNAcentral lists this ribosomal RNA (117 nucleotides) under Alicyclobacillus sp. ALC3. Lineage: Bacteria; Bacillati; Bacillota; Bacilli; Caryophanales; Alicyclobacillaceae. The record is from RNAcentral.